RNAcentral lists this ribosomal RNA (809 nucleotides) under Marmoricola sp. RNAcentral describes it as "bacterial SSU rRNA". It matches the Rfam family "Bacterial small subunit ribosomal RNA", at positions 46 to 857 of the family's 1533-position model. The record is from RNAcentral. Lineage: Bacteria; Bacillati; Actinomycetota; Actinomycetes; Propionibacteriales; Nocardioidaceae.
GCUUACCAUGCAAGUCGAGCGGUAAGGCCCUUCGGGGUACACGAGCGGCGAACGGGUGAGUAACACGUGAGCAAUCUGCCCUCCACAUCGGGAUAACCCCCGGAAACGGGAGCUAAUACCGGAUACGACCACUUCAGGCAUCUGAUGGUGGUGGAAAGUUCCGGCGGUGGAGGAUGAGCUCGCGGCCUAUCAGCUUGUUGGUGGGGUAAUGGCCCACCAAGGCUUCGACGGGUAGCCGGCCUGAGAGGGUGACCGGCCACACUGGGACUGAGACACGGCCCAGACUCCUACGGGAGGCAGCAGUGGGGAAUAUUGGACAAUGGGCGAAAGCCUGAUCCAGCAACGCCGCGUGAGGGAUGACGGCCUUCGGGUUGUAAACCUCUUUCAGCGCAGACGAAGCGUCUGGGUUUUCUCAGGCGUGACGGUAUGCGCAGAAGAAGCACCGGCCAACUACGUGCCAGCAGCCGCGGUAAUACGUAGGGUGCGAGCGUUGUCCGGAAUUAUUGGGCGUAAAGGGCUCGUAGGCGGUCUGUCACGUCAGGAGUGAAAACUCGGGGCUCAACCCCGAGCCUGCUUCUGAUACGGGCAGACUGGAGGUAUGCAGGGGAGAACGGAAUUCCUGGUGUAGCGGUGAAAUGCGCAGAUAUCAGGAGGAACACCGGUGGCGAAGGCGGUUCUCUGGGCAUUACCUGACGCUGAGGAGCGAAAGUGUGGGGAGCGAACAGGAUUAGAUACCCUGGUAGUCCACACCGUAAACGUUGGGCGCUAGGUGUGGGACUCAUUCCACGAGUUCCGUGCCGCAGCUAACG